GUAUCAGACAAACAUAUUUUAAACCCUCUCUUUUUCUAUUGGUUUCUGUUUUUCUUUCAAAUAAUAUGGUUUGCCCCACACUGACAGAUCUUUGUUUAAAGGGUUUCCUAUCAGAGACCUGCACCUGUACUGGGGAAUCACCUGCACUGAAAUUUUGAGUCCUAAUGGGAGCAAGGCUACCUUUCUCAUUACAGAGUUUUUACUUUUAAUUAGCUCCUUCCUCUUGCUGACACCUGCAGUAUUUGGCUCCUGGUUGGGAGGCUGGAGCACUCGACGCCUUCCCUGUUCUUCCCUUGGUGAGCCAGUUGGAGAAGAAAGAACUAAACCACCUCCCGCGUCUGAAAAAGUAGCAUAGGAUAUCAUACAUGCAGAAAGAUGUCUGUGGGGAACCACAUUUUUUUCAUCAAUAUCCAUACGUGUAUUGCUCCUUUAACUAGAAGAAAAAUGAAGAGAGCAAAAUCAGACAAUUACCUGAUUAAACUCUUCUGAUCUGAAGAACUGAAUAGAAACUGACUAAUGCAAUUCCUCUGCAGCGUCCUCUCUGGAAAAAAAA
Molecule: long non-coding RNA, 553 nt
Organism: Anas platyrhynchos (mallard)
Lineage: Eukaryota; Metazoa; Chordata; Aves; Anseriformes; Anatidae
Source: RefSeq, a predicted model, not a curated record